UACAAGUAUGUAACCUUCACGACAGCCAGAAGCAUUGUUAAGCAGCUGUAAGAUACAUGAGUAAUUGCCAUAACAAAAAUAAAGCGGUGUAACUGCUCAAGGCCUUCAUAUGAUACAAAGGGCUCGUAAUCCUGUAUACGAAAAUGCCAAAAUGAUCUGGUGCAUGGAGCAAAUGCGCUGUCGUAGUAUUUUGACGGGAUACAUAUGUCUGAUAUGAUGCUAGAAGUGGCUGUAAGAAGGAGAGAUAUGAAGCCAAGAAGCAUCAACUCUACACACAAACGACAUAAACAUGAUGAUGAGAAUAAUGAAUGUCAUAUGAAGUGUUAACAUUUGUUUAACAGAUUUUGUA
This 349-nucleotide long non-coding RNA is filed under the name Helianthus annuus (common sunflower). RNAcentral describes it as "hypothetical non coding rna". The record is from RNAcentral. Lineage: Eukaryota; Viridiplantae; Streptophyta; Magnoliopsida; Asterales; Asteraceae.